AAGCACAAAGGUUGACACACAGGGACUUUCCAAUUAUCCAGCAAUGGUACUGUUCCUUUACCUUCUCUUCGAUUUUGAGAAAAGUAGUCAUCAUGUUGGGAGUCUGGCUCUCGAGAUUCGGAGGAAGGUGCCUCUUCGAUUUUGGAGCAAGCAAUCUUGUUGGGACUGUUUUCUCGAAUGUGAGUAAAGGUUGGGCAUGUUUGCUAGUCUACCUUGCCACGAAGCACAGAGGUUGACACACAGGGACUUUCCAAUUAUCCAGCAGUGGUACUGUUCCUUUACCCUUGUGGGUAAUAAUAUGGUAGCUAGACCUUCAAAAUUUAUGUGUCUAAACUUUGUUAGUGCUGUUUCUUUGCUAUUCUUUUACCUUUCUUGGUCAGAGCGAUGUAGUGGGAGCUGCAAGCUUCACGUGCUCAACUUUGGCAGAGAACUUUGGCAAAGUGAUCUGUGGUACCCAUGAGUUAUUGUUGCGUGUGGGAAGUGGGUGAUUGAACAGUAAGAUUCAUGUGCUUUCUACUUCACCAGAAGUCUUCGACAGAAUGCCCAUAAUUUCUGCAAAGCUGAGUGUGCGUGUGACAGGUGCUGACAAGGCUAGAAAAGUAGGUGCCUCUUCGAUUUCUGAGAUCGGCCCUCGUGGUCUCUGAGCAGCCCAGCUUUUGAGAAAGCGAGCGCCUCUUCGAUUGAUUCGGAGAACGGUGCCUCACCGAUUUUUUAGAAAGCAAUCAUGCUGGGGGUCUGGCUCUCGAGAUUCGGGGAGCAGUGUCUCUUCGAUUUUUGAGAAAGUAAUCAUGUUGGGAGAAUGGCUCUCGAGAUUCGGAGGGCGGUGCCUCUUCGAUUUUGGAGCAAGCAAUCUUGUUGGGAGUGUUUUUCUCGAAUGUGAGUAAAGGUUGGGCAUGUUUGCUAGUCUACCUUGCCACGAAGCACAGAGGUUGACACACAGGGACUUUCCAAUUAUCCAGCAAUGGUACUGUUCCUUUACCCUCUCUUCGAUUUUUAAGAAAGUAGUCAUGUUGGGAGUCUGGCUCUUUAGAUUCGGAGGACGGUGCCUCUUCGAUUUUGGUGCAAGCAAUCUUAUUGGGAGUGUUUUCUCGAAUGUGAGUAAAGGUUGGGCAUGUUUGCUAGUCUACCUUGCCACGAAGCACAGAGGUUGACAUACAUGGACUUUCCAAUUAUCCAGCAGUGGUACUGUUCCUUUACCCUUGUGGGUAAUAAUAUGGUAGCUAGACCUUCAAAAUUUAUGGGUCUAAACUUUGUUAGUGCUGUUUCUUUGCUAUUCUUUUACCCUUCUUGGUCAGAGCGAUGUAGUGGGAGCUGCAAGCUUCACGUGCUCAACUUUGGCAGAGAACUU
Molecule: long non-coding RNA, 1348 nt
Filed under: Malus domestica (apple)
Lineage: Eukaryota; Viridiplantae; Streptophyta; Magnoliopsida; Rosales; Rosaceae
Description: long non-coding RNA (MDOM_LNC007197)
Source: RNAcentral